AGGAUCAUUACUGAAUUGUCAACAAGAGUUGUUGCUGGUCCUCAAAUGGGGGCAUGUGCACACUCUGUUCACACAUCCACUCACACCCUGUGCACCCUCUGUAGUUCUAUGGUCGGGGGGGCCUGUCCCUCCUGCUGUGGUUCUGCAUCUUUACACACACACACUGUAACAAAGUCUUAUGGAAUGCAUGCCGCGUUUAACGCAAUACAAUACAACUUUCAGCAACGGAUCUCUUGGCUCUCGCAUCGAUGAAGAACGCAGCGAAAUGCGAUAAGUAAUGUGAAUUGCAGAAUUCAGUGAAUCAUCGAAUCUUUGAACGCACCUUGCGCCCUUUGGCCAUUCCGAAGGGCAUGCCUGUUUGAGUAUCAUGAACACCUCAACUCUUUAUGGUUUUCCAUAAUGAGCUUGGACUUUGGGGGGUUUUGCUGGCCUAAAGUCAGCUCCCCUAAAAUAAAUCAGCUUACCAGUGUUUGGUGGGUAUCAUGGGUGUGAUAACUAUCUACGCUCGUGGUUUUUCACCAUAUAACCUUCAGCAGUGGAGGUUCACUGGGGCUCAUAGAUGUCUCUCCUCAGUGAGGACAGCCCUUUGAAUGUUUGAUCUCAAAUCAGGUAGGACUACCCGCUGAACUUAAGCAUAUCAAUAAGCGGAGGAAAAGAAACUAACAAGGAUUCCCCUAGUAACUGCGAGUGAAGCGGGAAGAGCUCAAAUUUAAAAUCUGGCGUGCCUCUGGUCGUCCGAGUUGUAGUCUG
RNAcentral lists this ribosomal RNA (750 nucleotides) under uncultured Tomentella. RNAcentral's name for it is "eukaryotic LSU rRNA". The stretch from base 214 to 368 matches the Rfam family "5.8S ribosomal RNA". The record is from RNAcentral. Lineage: Eukaryota; Fungi; Basidiomycota; Agaricomycetes; Thelephorales; Thelephoraceae.